AACUUCCUUGGACUCUUCUCUCACUGUAUUAGUGCCCGGUUCUGCAUCAAAGCGAAAACUUUUACAGAAGAAAGAAAACUGCUCCAGGGCAAAAGCGUGUGGCGCAAAAAGCCACAGCAGAGCCGGAAGCACAGCGCAGCCCCCACGCCCUUCCGGGCCGGCGGGCGGCGGCCCCCUCUCCCCCGGCCGGCGCACCCAACCCCCACCUGCCCUCUGUCCUCCGGGGCGCGCAGACCGGUGGGAAAGGGAGCCUGAACAUGGGUCCUUGAGCAUGGCAAUGUGUGUGCUUUGCCAGGUGCACCACCACCUAGCUCCUGCAGGUGGGGACUAGGAACUUCAACCCAGGACUUUAUGUAUGAUAACACGUGUGCUCUACGAGCCACCAAGUUGCAGAUGCUACCAUGAUGCCAACCUGAGUUCCCUGGGCAGAUGACCUCAUCAAUACAUCCUAGAACCCCACCUCUCCAGAGCCCUGCCCCACUAGGUAAAGACAGAAUCAAGCUGGGAGUAUGGAUCCACCUGCUAAUGCCCAUGUCCAGCAGGGAAGCAAUUACAGAAGCCAGACCUUCCACCUUCUGCACCACAUAAUGAUCCUGGGUCCAUGUUCACAAGGGGACAAAGAAUAGGAAAGCUUCCAAUGAAGGGGAUGGGAUACGGAACUCUGGUGGUGGGAAUUGUACCCUUCUUUUCCUACGGUCUUGUUAAUCAUUAUUAAAUCAAUAAAAAAGUCAACAAUU
This is a long non-coding RNA of Erinaceus europaeus (western European hedgehog), 737 nucleotides long. RefSeq lists it as uncharacterized. NCBI's taxonomy places the organism in Eukaryota, Metazoa, Chordata, Mammalia, Eulipotyphla, Erinaceidae. The record is from RefSeq and is a predicted model, not a curated record. The transcript is spliced from 4 exons.